GAAGACUGAGAGGAUUGCAGUAACUAUUCUUAUCAUACAUGUGGGAGUUCUCCCUGUGCACUUCCUCUACAAAAUCAGUGGCUCCAACCACAUCUUGAGAAAUUUUUUACAAAAUGUGUUCGAUCUGACACACUGCCUGGCAAAGGCAUAGAAGAAUCUAAGGUUGAUCUUAGAAACACCAUCGCCCUUUUCCUUCACCUCAGAACACUUCUUUGAAGACACUGAAGUCUCCCAAAACAGGAGCUCCUGCCCCACCGAAGGCCCAGAGAUCUGCUAUACAGAUGCUCAAUGCAAAGCUUUGCUGAUCAAGGAAGAACCUGAGAAAUACCACACACUGUAUCUGAUGCUCCAAGAAUCCCCAUGCAUGUUAGCAGGUUAAAGAAUCUUAAACAUUUACAAGCGUCGCAUUGGGUCCAGGAGCCUUCCCCAUGCCAGCCUGCAGGACUGGAAGGAGCUCACAGACAGCUGCUUUGAAAGUUACUUCUUUAACUACAAGGACACGAUGUUGCUUUUCAUUUCUUUAAAAUGCCUGUUCAUGCCUGGCUCAGUGGUUGAGCACUGAGCACAUGCCUGGGUUGUG
Myotis brandtii (Brandt's bat) is the source of this 580-nucleotide long non-coding RNA. RefSeq lists it as uncharacterized. The record is from RefSeq and is a predicted model, not a curated record. The transcript has 3 exons. NCBI's taxonomy places the organism in Eukaryota, Metazoa, Chordata, Mammalia, Chiroptera, Vespertilionidae.